GACAUAGGUGGCAACCGUUAUCCGGAAUUAUUGGGCGUAAAGGGUGCGUAGAUCGUAUGGUAAGUUACUGGUGGCAAAUCGAGGCUCAACCUCGUGGAAGUCAGUAAUACUGCUAUGCUAGAGUUCAGGAGAGGUUAACGGAACUCCAUGUGGAGCGGUAAAAUGCGUAGAGAUCCGGAAGAACACCGGUGGCGAAGGCGGCCUGCUGGGCAGUGGCUGACACUGAGGCGCGACAGCGUGGGGAGCAAACAGG
RNAcentral lists this ribosomal RNA (253 nucleotides) under uncultured bacterium. RNAcentral's name for it is "partial 16S ribosomal RNA". It matches the Rfam family "Bacterial small subunit ribosomal RNA", at positions 524 to 776 of the family's 1533-position model. The record is from RNAcentral.